Molecule: ribosomal RNA, 366 nt
Filed under: uncultured eukaryote
Lineage: Eukaryota
Description: partial 18S ribosomal RNA
Rfam family: Eukaryotic small subunit ribosomal RNA
Source: RNAcentral
CAAUAGCGUAUAUUAAAGUUGUUGCAGUUAAAAAGCUCGUAGUUGAAUUUCUGGUGGGCGCGCCGGUCUUCCAAGUGUUGUACUGGGCGCAGUCCGCCAUCCUUGUGGAGAGGGCUCGCAUUGAGUUGCGUGUCGGAUCUGCAUCAUUUACUGUGAAAAAAUUAGAGUGUUUAAAGCAGGCUGUCGCUUGAAUACAUUAGCAUGGAAUAAUAAGAUAGGACUUCGGUCUAUUUUGUUGGUUGCGAACCGAGGUAAUGAUUAAUAGGGAUAGUUGGGGGUAUUCAUAUUUAAUUGUCAGAGGUGAAAUUCUUGGAUUUACGCAAGACAAACAGCUGCGAAAGCGUCUGCCAAGGAUGUUUUCAUUAA